Molecule: long non-coding RNA, 435 nt
Organism: Paramacrobiotus metropolitanus
Lineage: Eukaryota; Metazoa; Tardigrada; Eutardigrada; Parachela; Macrobiotidae
Exons: 3
Source: RefSeq, a predicted model, not a curated record
UGCAGUGCUGGAAAAUUCCCUUGGCUUCGCUUGGCUUGGCUUAGCCUUAAAUGACUGCUACAGUAGACUACGAGUACUGUACCAUAGAAAAGGAACUGUACUAAUGACUGUACUAUUGAUCGUUCACAGACGCAGGGCAUAUGAGGUGAACCAAUCGAUCGUCUACUAGCUUUUCCGGCGUAAAGGCGCUGCCAUUGGCCAAAUCUGCAUGGAAUUUCCACCGAAUCUCGUGGAGUUCCCAACAGAAUUGUAAAACUUAUCAUCCAGCACGUCAAAGGUGAUGAACAAAAUUCAGUUUUCGAUGAGGGAGCACCGUAGAAGCUGCGCUAUUUAGAGAACGACAUCGGAUCAGUAUUUGCAAGAACUUCGGCUAACAAUCAGACGCAGCAGGCAUGCCGAGAAAGCGUGCGGUUUCGACUUUUAGGCGUGUCUGGA